UAGUGGCUCUUUAACUACAAAUUUGAAUGCGGUGUUUAUCUUUACGUACAUAGUUAGUAUAUUUUAUGCAAUUUACGUAACUAUAACUUUAUUAAAGCAAGCAAUUAGCUUAAAUUUUGCAUUCGAAGAGCCAUUAAAUCAUUUAAAUCAAAUAAAUUGAAAGGUUGAGUACCAAGAUCAAAAUUUUGAAAGAUUGAGUAGUCGAAUCAAAAUGGUUUAUAGUUCACUUAUGUUUUAU
RNAcentral lists this long non-coding RNA (238 nucleotides) under Ananas comosus (pineapple). Its description in RNAcentral is "long non-coding RNA (ACOM_LNC021495)". The record is from RNAcentral. Lineage: Eukaryota; Viridiplantae; Streptophyta; Magnoliopsida; Poales; Bromeliaceae.